GGGGAAGUGUUGGAAUUGGCAGACAAGCUUGACUUAGGAUCAAGUGCCUCACGGCGUGCGGGUUCGAAUCCCGCCUUCCCCA
RNAcentral lists this transfer RNA (82 nucleotides) under Anaerolineaceae bacterium 4572_5.2. RNAcentral's name for it is "tRNA-Leu". It matches the Rfam family "tRNA". From Rfam's summary of the family: Transfer RNA (tRNA) molecules are approximately 80 nucleotides in length. Lineage: Bacteria; Bacillati; Chloroflexota; Anaerolineae; Anaerolineales; Anaerolineaceae. The record is from RNAcentral.